ACCCGCUGAACUUAAGCAUAUCAAUAAGCGGAGGAAAAGAAACCAACAGGGAUUGCCCUAGUAACGGCGAGUGAAGCGGCAACAGCUCAAAUUUGAAAUCUGGCGUCUUUGGCGUCCGAGUUGUAAUUUGUAGAGGAUGCUUUUGGGUUGCCACCGGUCUAAGUUCCUUGGAACAGGACGUCAUAGAGGGUGAGAAUCCCGUAUGUGACCGGCUUAGGCACCCUUUGUAAAGCUCCUUCGACGAGUCGAGUUGUUUGGGAAUGCAGCUCUAAAUGGGAGGUAAAUUUCUUCUAAAGCUAAAUACCGGCCAGAGACCGAUAGCGCACAAGUAGAGUGAUCGAAAGAUGAAAAGCACUUUGGAAAGAGAGUUAAAAAGCACGUGAAAUUGUUGAAAGGGAAGCGCUUGCAGCCAGACUUGCCUGUAGUUGCUCAUCCGGGUUUUUACCCGGUGCACUCUUCUAUAGGCAGGCCAGCAUCAGUUUGGGCGGUUGGAUAAAGGUCUCUGUCAUGUACCUCUCUUCGGGGAGAACUUAUAGGGGAGACGACAUGCAACCAGCCCGGACUGAGGUCCGCGCAUCUGCUAGGAUGCUGGCGUAAUGGCUGU
RNAcentral lists this ribosomal RNA (604 nucleotides) under uncultured fungus. RNAcentral describes it as "eukaryotic LSU rRNA". It matches the Rfam family "Eukaryotic large subunit ribosomal RNA", at positions 23 to 641 of the family's 3401-position model. The record is from RNAcentral. Lineage: Eukaryota; Fungi.